UAAUGUACCCGGUGAACUUAGCCAUAUCAAUAAGAGGAGAUAAAAAAAACCAACAGGGGAUUGGGCUAGUAACGGCGAGUGAAGCGGCAACAGCUCAAAUUUGAAAUCUGGCUCCUUAGGAGUCCGAGUUGUAAUUUGCAGAGGGUGCUUUGGCGUUGGCGGCGGUAUAAGUUCCUUGGAACAGUACAUCACAGAGGGUGAGAAUCCCGUACGUGGUCGCCUGCCUUCGCCGUGUAAAGCCCCUUCGACGAGUCGAGUUGUUUGGGAAUGCAGCUCUAAAUGGGAGGUAAAUUUCUUCUAAAGCUAAAUACCGGCCAGAGACCGAUAGCGCACAAGUAGAGUGAUCGAAAGAUGAAAAGCACUUUGGAAAGAGAGUCAAACAGCACGUGAAAUUGUUAUAAGGGAAGCGCUUGCAGCCAGACUUGCCUGUAGUUGCUCACCUGGGCUUUUGCCCGGGGCACUCUUCUGCAGGCAGGCCAGCAUCAGUUUGGGCGGUCGGAUAAAGGCCUCUGACACGUACUUCCCUUCGGGGUUGACAUAUAGGGGAGGCGUAAUGCGACCAGCCUGGACUGAGGUCCGCGCAUCUGCUAGGAUGCUGGCGUAAUGGCUGUAAGCGGCCCGUCUUGAAACACGGACCAAGGAGUCUAACAUCUAUGCGAGUGUUUGGGUGUCAAGCCCGAGCGCGUAAUGAAAGUGAACGGAGGUGGGAACCCCUCGGGGCGCACCAUCGACCGAUCCUGAUGUCUUCGGAUGGAUUUGAGUAAGAGCAUAGCUGUUGGGACCCGAAAGAUGGUGAACUAUGCUUGAAUAGGGUGAAGCCAGAGGAAACUCUGGUGGAGGCUCGCAGCGGUUCUGACGUGCAAAUCGAUCGUCAAAUUUGGCAUAGGGGCGAAAGAAUAAUUGUAG
This 906-nucleotide ribosomal RNA is filed under the name Periconia palmicola. Its description in RNAcentral is "Periconia sp. JL-2019a partial large subunit ribosomal RNA". It matches the Rfam family "Eukaryotic large subunit ribosomal RNA", at positions 22 to 940 of the family's 3401-position model. Lineage: Eukaryota; Fungi; Ascomycota; Dothideomycetes; Pleosporales; Periconiaceae. The record is from RNAcentral.